GGGCCCGCACAAGCAGCGGAGCGUGUGGUUUAAUUCGAUGCAACGCGCAGAACCUUACCUCGGCUUGACAUGCACGUGGUACUGAUCCGAAAGGAAAGGGACCCGCGAGGGAGCGUGCACAGAUGCUGCAUGGCUGUCGUCAGCUCGUGCCGUGAGGUGUUGGGUUAAGUCCCGCAACGAGCGCAACCCUUGUCCUUAGUUGCCUUCUCUAAGGAGACCGCCGGUCUAAACCGGAGGAAGGUGGGGAUGACGUCAAGUCAGCACGGCUCUUACGUCGAGGGCUACACACACGCUACAAUGGCCGGUACAACGGGCUGCCAAGGGGCGACCUGGAGCUAAUCCCACCAAAGCCGGUCUCAGUUCGGAUUGCAGGCUGCAACUCGCCUGCAUGAAGUCGGAGUUGCUAGUAACUGCCAGUCAGCACAUGGCAGUGAAUACGUUCCCGGGCCUU
Molecule: ribosomal RNA, 451 nt
Filed under: uncultured bacterium
Lineage: Bacteria
Description: bacterial SSU rRNA
Rfam family: Bacterial small subunit ribosomal RNA
Source: RNAcentral